Long non-coding RNA from Bombus huntii, 4061 nucleotides. RefSeq lists it as uncharacterized. The transcript has 3 exons. Lineage: Eukaryota; Metazoa; Arthropoda; Insecta; Hymenoptera; Apidae. The record is from RefSeq and is a predicted model, not a curated record.
CACGUUUCCCUCGCAGAUCUCGCGAUUCGUAGAGCCAUAGGCGUCGUUGGACCAAAAAAACUCUUGUUCGUCGUGUUAAGGGUGGGAGGGGAGAUCGUGUAAGAAUAUCAAACGCAUUGACGUCUUACGCAGCACGGAAGGUAAUUAUUUCGGACGUACUUUGCCGCACGUCUGACCUCGAAAUUAGAAAUUUCGCACGGUUUGGACUGGCGUAGCUCGAAUUUACGUGCGCGACAGAGACAGUAUAGGAGUAAGAUAGCGCGAGACAGCGCGUGUGCGUGCAUACAAGAGAGAGGAAGAUAGAAAGAGAAAGAUAAAGAGAUGCACAGACGGAACAGAUAUUCGCGUGCAAUUCUGCCCCGAUUUGUCACAGGUAUCGGAGAAAGGAUCGGAAGGAGCUCAAUACCACGAGAAUCAUAUCGGAAUACGAAGGGGACCUCGAACGCGCGACACGUGCGACUUCGAAUUAGAAAAAGUAAACACGCGUUCGGCCAGGUGGCGCGGAAUGUCGUUGCUAUAUCGAUGUGCGGACUCCCGCGCGCAGGUGUUCUAAAAAAAAUUUAGUAAAACGUGGGGCACCGAUGACAGCUAAUGACAGUGGCAGCCAACGCGUCAAAGACCAUGUAAGAGAAACGUUAGAAAAUCAAAGAACUAGAAAAAUCGUUGCGUUGUACGUUUAGCUGCGAUCUCUUCGAUAAUUUCGCUCGCUCCAAAAUAUCAUUGCCCCUAACAAAGGGGUCAUUACGCGUCGCGAUGCUUAUCCCUCAAAAAGCAAGAAGCCACGUUCCCAUCGGCAUUUAAUUGACCCGAAUCCGGCGCUCGUGGCGCAGGAACGUUCACCGUUUUCAACGACUUACUCGCGGACAGACCGAGCCAAGGUUUCUCCGCGCGUUUUAACGAGUCCGCGAGUAAUUUUCUGUAAUAACCACGUGCACGCUGCCGCGAGUUAUGCGAUGCGCGCAUAAACAACAGCGAGGAGCGUCUUCAGAGGCGAACGCAGCGACUUUUCACUGGAGCAUUGCAUAAUUUUUCCGCGGUUGCGCAAUCAUCGGGGGCUGUUGCGCAAUCCUGUCACGCGGAGACGCACGAUGGAUCCAAGGAAUCGCGAUUUUCGGAACGAUCUUAUGAAUAUCCGUGGGUACGUGGUAUAGGUCGACCGAAUCGUAAAUCGCCAAGAUGCAAAUGAGCUAUAGAAAUGUUGGAUUAACGUGUAUUAAUAAACUUCGAAUAUUAUGUAUAUAUUUACACAGUAUGUCGGUUUUAAAUGUACACACGUGAUUAUCAUCGGAUAUACGAAAAAAUAUUCGAGAUGAAAGUUGUUUGACUUCACGAGGAAAGCUUCAUCAGAUAUUUCGACCUCUUUUACACUCUCAUUUAAAUAGAUUUCAAUAACGAUACAACUUUUUCAAAUGGAGCUACAUGUCUUUUAUGUAUCGUUGGAUGAAUUUCUGAAUUUUUCACAGAAAAGUAUGUAUCGAGAUACUUUCGUCGAAAAAAUGAUUAGUUUGAAAGAUAUGUUAGUUUUAAUCUCGCGGGACUUAUCGUAUGAAAAGCGAAGAAAGAUAACGCAGUGCCCUUGUAUUUACGUUUUGUUGAAAAGAACGAUGCCGACAAAAUGGUAUUAAGCGUCGUCUUUGCCAUUUUCAGUUGAUAACUCUAAAGGAUACCAAAGAAUUUUUUAAUAUUCGUAAUAGUAAAUUUUAUAGCGGAGAUACAAUGCGAUAAAAUAGGUACACACGAAGAAGAAUAUCUGCUAAAUGUAACAGUUUCUCUUUUCUUCAUUCUUUGAAUAGCAAUUUUAUCAAGAUAAAUAAAGUAUUUCGUAAUAAAAUUUUCCUCAUAGUUUUCUCUUAUUUAAGAAAUGUUACAUCUUCUUCGUUGGCAAUGACGCAAUAGAUGACAUCCAGAUUAUUAAAAUAUUUAUUUUGACUGUGCUACUUCCGAGGUACUUCCAGUGUACAGUAAGAAACACGAAGUAGUUCAUAUUUCGAAUAUUUAACAUCGUGAAUAUUAAAAAGGACGUGCAUAGCUCAACACGAAAGUUCGCCUGUGCACAAAGUUAAGGAUAGCUAAAAGAAAUAUGAUAUUUCCCUCAGAAUCCAUCUCAUUAACAAAGUUUGUUCACCUCGUGAGUAUUUAAAUCUUGGAAAUUUCUUCUUCAUAUUAUACGAACAUAUAUUAAGAUUAAAAGAUUCGAUAUAAAUUACGUAUUUAACUAAGAAGAUGACAUUGUACUACUAUUUUUGAAAUUCCACUGGAAAACUAGCAGUAAAAUUAUCUGCACUACUACGUAUGUAACGAAAGAAAAACAAAAGAACAGCACGGUAAACUUUGUUACACAAUCAAAUUUUUUCAAACACGAGAUACAACAAACCCAUUUGCGUGACCUGCUCCGCGGAAAAUUAAUAUCUUGUCAUCUCCGACAAAACCACGCUACUGUAACAUACGUACUAUUGUUGGCAAAUAAUAUUGUUACCAAAUUUUACAUUCACUGUAUUUUUGUACAAACUAUUCACGAGAUGUACCUAUUAAAUCGAACACUUUAAUUACGUCAUUAAUUUUUCAUUUUAACUGUCCUGUUUGAAAUCGAAGACAGGUUCCAGCUCAUUAUACCAUUACGUAUUAAUUAUAACUCGUGUAUUACAUAAUUAAACGCAUUCGAUGGAUUCGUUAGUGAACUUGAAAGCGACAAAACUUAUAUUAUAAAUUUAAGCUGAAACGAAUAAUGCUUGGCUUAGGAUAAAAAAAUUUCAACUGAAAGAACGAUUUUGUAACCAAAGCCCAUUUUACUCAGUGAUAAUAACUUACACACGAAUACGACUCUCAAAAUCAUGUUGUAACCAAAAAAACAACUUAUAAUUCAACAAGAUUAUGAGAGCUCUACACGAACCGAAUUUUCCCUAUCGUAAAUUGCCUAUCGAACGACAAAUUAAAUAAAUCACGCAUUUAAUGUUAGAAAUUAAGUUACGAUUCACCUUCGAUAUACAUAUAAAUGUAUUCGAUAGAUCUUUGAAAUUGAAUAAGAAUCAAAUUAUUAAUUCAGAAAUCACCUCAACCAACGUAUUCCCAAAUGAAAUUAGUCAAAAGAGCUCAGAACCAUAGGAAUUUUUUCCAAUUGUGUAUCGGUAUUAUCGAUUUCAGUAACUAUCUCACUCAUCGACAUCUAAAAAAAAAAAAAAAAAAAUAAUUCCAAUCGGAAAAUCAUCUCAAGCUCUAAAAACCACGAACUCUCCGAUCUUAGCCGUUAAGAUCUCGAAAGUUUAACACCAAAGGUAUUUCGUAAUCGCAACACAGCUGCUACCAAACGACAAAUUAAACCUGACCCUAUCUCGAGUACAUCCCUAAAGCGAUUCACGGUUUCCAGGCGCCUCUAAUCCUGAUAUAUCGAGGCCGCGAAGAAGCGAGCAUAAACGAGCGAGUUGCGCGUCAGGUCCGCUCGUUUCGAUCGUACCUACAAUUAUUUUUUUCCCGUUCCGCGCUGCGUGCCGGCAGAUAAUAAUUACUUCGGACGCGAGGCUCCGUGAUUCUUCGAGAAGUCGUCGCUUCGAACACACAACACGUGAACCAGACUUCGUUCGAUGCACGUACCUAUACGUAUACACUUAUAUACGUACGCCAUUGUGAACAGUGCGCACGUGUGUGAACGCUCAUUCCGCUAAUCUUGCGUAGGCACGCAUGUUGCUCGUGGUUGUCGGAAAUGCGACAUCGUCGACGUCGCUCGUCACGGAACAAGAAGGCCUUACGUGGCUGCGCCUGCAUAUACAUCGCCAGAGUGUGUAUAACAGUCGUUGCAUCAACACGGCCAUACUAUUAUACAGUAUGUAGUAAGUACAGGGUGCCUCGGUCGAAAUGACGCGAAUUAUUUUCUGGAGACUCUUUAGGAUGUUUGUUCAGGAGUUUCGUUCUUUUUUUCGUAUUUUUUUUUUUUUUUUUUUUUUUUUUAGUGAUGUAGAUUACGAGUUUUUACGAGUUUUUAUACUCUCGCGAAUUUAAGGAAUGGAACGUAGACAGAAAUCUUGUUUCGCUUAUUAAAUAUUAUAAUAAAUAUUUUACUUCUUGAA